RNAcentral lists this ribosomal RNA (466 nucleotides) under uncultured Diversispora. RNAcentral describes it as "SSU rRNA". It matches the Rfam family "Eukaryotic small subunit ribosomal RNA", at positions 569 to 1038 of the family's 1831-position model. Lineage: Eukaryota; Fungi; Glomeromycota; Glomeromycetes; Diversisporales; Diversisporaceae. The record is from RNAcentral.
AGCAGCCGCGGUAAUUCCAGCUCCAAUAGCGUAUAUUAAAGUUGUUGCAGUUAAAAAGCUCGUAGUUGAACUUCGGAAUUUGCCCAUUGGUCAGGCUUAACUGUCUGCACUGGUGUGACGAGUUCCUACCUUCUGAGGAAUCUCCAUGUCAUUCAGUUGGUGUGGGGGGAAAUCAGGACUGUUACUUUGAAAAAUUAGAGUGUUUAAAGCAGGCGUCCGUCUGAAUACAUUAGCAUGGAAUAAUAAAAUAGGACGGUUUGGUUCUAUUUUGUUGGUUUCUAGGAUCACCGUAAUGAUUAAUAGGGAUAGUUGGGGGCAUUAGUAUUCAAUUGUCAGAGGUGAAAUUCUUGGAUUUAUUGAAGACUAACUACUGCGAAAGCAUUUGCCAAGGAUGUUUUCAUUAAUCAAGAACGAAAGUUAGGGGAUCGAAGACGAUCAGAUACCGUCGUAGUCUUAACCAUAAACU